RNAcentral lists this transfer RNA (72 nucleotides) under Otolemur garnettii (small-eared galago). It matches the Rfam family "tRNA". Rfam says of the family: Transfer RNA (tRNA) molecules are approximately 80 nucleotides in length. Lineage: Eukaryota; Metazoa; Chordata; Mammalia; Primates; Galagidae. The record is from Rfam by way of RNAcentral.
AACCUUGGGGUGCAACAGUAGCACAUCUGACUCCAGAUUUGAAGGUUGCGUGUUCAAGUCAUGUCAGGGUUG